Molecule: small nuclear RNA, 107 nt
Filed under: Microtus ochrogaster (prairie vole)
Lineage: Eukaryota; Metazoa; Chordata; Mammalia; Rodentia; Cricetidae
Source: RNAcentral
GAGCUCGCUUCAGCAGCACAGAUACUAAAAUUGGAACAAUACAGGGAAGAUUAGCACGGCCCCUGCACAGGGAUGACAAGCAAAUUUGUAAAGCGUUCCAUAUUUUU